This 492-nucleotide ribosomal RNA is filed under the name uncultured bacterium. RNAcentral describes it as "partial 16S ribosomal RNA". It matches the Rfam family "Bacterial small subunit ribosomal RNA", at positions 29 to 507 of the family's 1533-position model. The record is from RNAcentral.
AGUGAACGCUGGCGGUAGGCCUAACACAUGCAAGUCGAGCGGCAGCACAGUAAGAGCUUGCUCUUACGGGUGGCGAGUGGCGGACGGGUGAGGAAUACAUCGGAAUCUACUUUUUCGUGGGGGAUAACGUAGGGAAACUUACGCUAAUACCGCAUACGACCUACGGGUGAAAGCAGGGGAUCUUCGGACCUUGCGCGAUUGAAUGAGCCGAUGUCGGAUUAGCUAGUUGGCGGGGUAAAGGCCCACCAAGGCGACGAUCCGUAGCUGGUCUGAGAGGAUGAUCAGCCACACUGGAACUGAGACACGGUCCAGACUCCUACGGGAGGCAGCAGUGGGGAAUAUUGGACAAUGGGCGCAAGCCUGAUCCAGCCAUACCGCGUGGGUGAAGAAGGCCUUCGGGUUGUAAAGCCCUUUUGUUGGGAAAGAAAAGCAGCAGGUUAAUACCCCGCUGUUCUGACGGUACCCAAGGAAUAAGCACCGGCCAACUUCGUG